GAAGGCACGCUGACACGUAGGUGAAGUGAUUUACUCAUGGAGCUGAAGUCAGUCGAAGAUACCAGCUGGCUGCAACUGUUUAUUAAAAACACAGCACUGUGCAAACACGAAAGUGGACGUAUACGGUGUGACGCCUGCCCGGUGCCGGAAGGUUAAUUGAUGGGGUCAGCGCAAGCGAAGCUCCUGAUCGAAGCCCCGGUAAACGGCGGCCGUAACUAUAACGGUCCUAAGGUAGCGAAAUUCCUUGUCGGGUAAGUUCCGACCUGCACGAAUGGCGUAAUGAUGGCCAGGCUGUCUCCACCCGAGACUCAGUGAAAUUGAACUCGCUGUGAAGAUGCAGUGUACCCGCGGCAAGACGGAAAGACCCCGUGAACCUUUACUAUAGCUUGACACUGAACAUUGAGCCUUGAUGUGUAGGAUAGGUGGGAGGCUUUGAAGCGUGGACGCCAGUCUGCGUGGAGCCGACCUUGAAAUACCACCCUUUAAUGUUUGAUGUUCUAACGUGGACCCGUAAUCCGGGUUGCGGACAGUGUCUGGUGGGUAGUUUGACUGGGGCGGUCUCCUCCUAAAGAGUAACGGAGGAGCACGAAGGUUGGCUAAUCCUGGUCGGACAUCAGGAGGUUAGUGCAAUGGCAUAAGCCAGCUUGACUGCGAGCGUGACGGCGCGAGCAGGUGCGAAAGCAGGUCAUAGUGAUCCGGUGGUUCUGAAUGGAAGGGCCAUCGCUCAACGGAUAAAAGGUACUCCGGGGAUAACAGGCUGAUACCGCCCAAGAGUUCAUAUCGACGGCGGUGUUUGGCACCUCGAUGUCGGCUCAUCACAUCCUGGGGCUGAAGUAGGUCCCAAGGGUAUGGCUGUUCGCCAUUUAAAGUGGUACGCGAGCUGGGUUUAGAACGUCGUGAGACAGUUCGGUCCCUAUCUGCCGUGGGCGCUGGAGAACUGAGGGGGGCUGCUCCUAGUACGAGAGGACCGGAGUGGACGCAUCACUGGUGUUCGGGUUGUCAUGCCAAUGGCACUGCCCGGUAGCUAAAUGCGGAAGAGAUAAGUGCUGAAAGCAUCUAAGCACGAAACUUGCCCCGAGAUGAGUUCUCCCUGAGACUUAGAGUCUCCUGAAGGAACGUUGAAGACGACGACGUUGAUAGGCCGGGUGUGUAAGCGCAGCGAUGCGUUGAGCUAACCGGUACUAAUGAACCGUGAGGCUUAACCUUACA
This 1209-nucleotide ribosomal RNA is filed under the name Salmonella enterica. RNAcentral's name for it is "partial 23S ribosomal RNA". It matches the Rfam family "Bacterial large subunit ribosomal RNA", at positions 1742 to 2925 of the family's 2925-position model. The record is from RNAcentral. Lineage: Bacteria; Pseudomonadati; Pseudomonadota; Gammaproteobacteria; Enterobacterales; Enterobacteriaceae.